RNAcentral lists this transfer RNA (65 nucleotides) under Dipodomys ordii (Ord's kangaroo rat). It matches the Rfam family "tRNA". Rfam says of the family: Transfer RNA (tRNA) molecules are approximately 80 nucleotides in length. Their secondary structure includes four short double-helical elements and three loops (D, anti-codon, and T loops). The record is from Rfam by way of RNAcentral. Lineage: Eukaryota; Metazoa; Chordata; Mammalia; Rodentia; Heteromyidae.
GGUGGCUCAGAGGUAGAGUGCUUGCCUUGCAUGCAUGAGGUCUUGGGUUAAAUUCCCCAGCACCA